AUUGAACGCUGGCGGCAGGCCUAACACAUGCAAGUCGAGCGGAUGAAGGGGGCUUGCUCCUGGAUUCAGCGGCGGACGGGUGAGUAAUGCCUAGGAAUCUGCCUGGUAGUGGGGGAUAACGUCCGGAAACGGGCGCUAAUACCGCAUACGUCCUGAGGGAGAAAGUGGGGGAUCUUCGGACCUCACGCUAUCAGAUGAGCCUAGGUCGGAUUAGCUAGUUGGUGGGGUAAAGGCCUACCAAGGCGACGAUCCGUAACUGGUCUGAGAGGAUGAUCAGUCACACUGGAACUGAGACACGGUCCAGACUCCUACGGGAGGCAGCAGUGGGGAAUAUUGGACAAUAGGCGAAAGCCUGAUCCAGCCAUGCCGCGUGUGUGAAGAAGGUCUUCGGAUUGUAAAGCACUUUAAGUUGGGAGGAAGGGCAGUAAGUUAAUACCUUGCUGUUUUGACGUUACCAACAGAAUAAGCACCGGCUAACUUCGUG
Molecule: ribosomal RNA, 484 nt
Filed under: uncultured bacterium
Lineage: Bacteria
Description: partial 16S ribosomal RNA
Rfam family: Bacterial small subunit ribosomal RNA
Source: RNAcentral